RNAcentral lists this long non-coding RNA (542 nucleotides) under Anas platyrhynchos platyrhynchos (common mallard). RNAcentral describes it as "lncRNA (ENSAPLG00000021332.1)". The record is from RNAcentral. Lineage: Eukaryota; Metazoa; Chordata; Aves; Anseriformes; Anatidae.
AUGGACUCACCCUGGCCACCAGGACGAGAAAUCACCACGCAGAACCCUGGGUUUCAAUGCAUUUCAGAGUGUCAUGGAAAAGGGUGUCCUGGGGAAUGUGAAGGUAAAAGCACAGUGUGGAAUGUGGCUACCUCCUCAUCCUCUUCAAAGAGAAAAUUGUCCCUUAAAAUAGCAUAUGUUGGUGGUCACAUCCCUGCAUGGGGGCUGUUGGCAGGAGGACCAACCUCAGGCAUGGAGUGGUGCCCAUGCAGCCCGUGCCAGCACCCCACUCUCCCAUCACUGCCUCUGGAGCCUUCACCUGCAUUUGCUUUUGCAGCUAUAGUGGAAGGACAUUGCCCAUUCUGUUCCCUACUGACAGCUGGGAGACCCAGACUCACAAAGGAAAUUAGUCAUUGCCACACUGACUGCCUAAGUAAGUGCUAAGGGAAGUAUGCUUGCAGAGAAGAGGAGGUUCUUCAGUGAUUAAGGGGGAUUCCUGUGAAUCACUGCUAUGCAGCAAAACUCCACCUAAGGCAAAACAUCACUGCCUGCCUUCUUCCAUG